Molecule: non-coding RNA, 73 nt
Organism: Parelaphostrongylus tenuis
Lineage: Eukaryota; Metazoa; Nematoda; Chromadorea; Rhabditida; Metastrongylidae
Source: the annotation of a GenBank genome assembly
GCGUCAGUAGUGCAACGGUUAGCAUACGCUUCCGGAAAGGAGUGAGAUCUGGGUUCGAAUCUCGGAUGACGCA